UUGGAACCAGCAAGCAUGAUGGGUUAAAUAGAACCCUAGUCCAGCAGUAAUAUAAGCUCAAGGAAAAUCCUCCAUAGCUUACAUGUGUAGCAAAUCCAUUCAGCAUUUUUCUAAGACUUUUUCCAGGAAAUCUUAGCCAUUAAAAUCAUCCCUUUAAUAUUACAGUUCUGAUUGGAACCAAAGAUUAAUAGCUACCCAAAGCAAAGAGCUUUUUUAGUAAAGACUGAGUUAAAAUAAACAUUAAGUUAGCAAACACUCCUCUCCUCAGCACAAGCACUACUUUGAGUGGUGUUCCUAUAUCUUUUUGUCCUUUAAAAUUAACAAGAUUCUGCAAAUAGUAGCUCGUAUGAAUUGUUCACAACUUUUUACUGAAAUAAUAAAUCAAUUAGAAUGGUGUUCCUAAAAAAAAACUUUCAUGAGAGAAAUAUGCUUUAUUUUCUUCCUGCAAUUAGAAAAAUUGAAAUUGAGAAGGGAUUUCCCUAGACCACAGGGGAAAAACAUGUGCCUCCAAAGAGAUUAAAAUAAACUUCCAUCUCGCAAUUUAGUGUUCAUCUCAGUGAAGCAUAUUGUGGAUAAUAAAAUUUUUCAAAUGCGGCAGAUGUGGUUAUGGGAUGAUGACAUAGCCAAGUCUUCAUUUGCCAUGUCAACAUUAAGGUAGCAGAACUUCUGAGAUGGAAAUGUCAGACGCAGAUGAAAUGGUGACUCAGAAGGCAGAAAUUCAAAAAAUGGACUUCUAGUAAAUUUCGUCAAACUGCCUGAGGCACUUCCCCAUCUGUAUGUGCAACAUGCAUUCAGCUAUUGUAAAGUUUCUCUAACAGUCUUGGGAAGUGCUAUGACAGUAACAAGGAAGAUUGAUAGCAGAUUCCAUGCCUCUUUGUUAAUCACAUUAAGAACGCUGCUUUGUACUGUCGCAUGUUGUGUCUGGAAAAAUAUAUGCCCACCACACCAUAUUGAAAACUUUCAUCCUAUUACCCAUCUGCUGCCAGUAAAUGAUCAGUUUAAAUGCAAAAAUGGGUGAUGGGGGUGUGAAACUCAAAGAUUUUCCAAGCACACCAUUUUUCUAGCCCUAUUUUCCUAAUCACCUUUGGGAAAUGCAAGAACCUAACGCAUACCACAUUUUCAAAUGUUUCCUUAGGGGAUUUGAAUCAUAUUUUAUGUAACUCAAGUUAUGUGAUAAUGACAAGCAUAUCUCCAAACGUUAAAACCGGUAAUUUUAAACAUAUACAUUUGGCAUAGUGACUGUUACUUGUUUCUUUAUCAGAGUUUAUGGUGAAACUCAGUACUAGAAUCUGAGGUUUAUGAAAACAUGAUUCCCUCCAUUUAGCUGGAGGAGUUUCUCAUACUGAUUGAUCAGUUCCCAACCCCUACAGUCAGAUAAAUAAAAAAAGCCCUUAGAGUUGUAGCAAGAGGAACAACUAGUCGUGAGUACAUUUCUUCAGUUGGGGAGAUAAAAUUUAUUUCUUCAAUUACUUUGUGAACAUCUGCAUGUUAUAAAAAGGAAUGUGUAUUAAUACAAUUAACUAAACAGUUUGUCUUUUAAUUGCAUUCAUUGAUUAAUUUCUAAGUAUUAUUAUUAUUAUCUUUCUUUUUGAGAGAGACAGAGAAAGAAUGCAUGCACCUAGAGCAGGGGUAGAGGGAGAGGGAGAGAGAGAAUUGUAAGCAGUUUCAAUGUCCAGCACUGAGCUGAAAUCAAGAGUCGAUUACUCAACCGACUGAGCCACUCAGGUGCCCCUAUUUUUCUAAGUAUUAUAAUCAGUUUUUCUUCAGUGUCAGAUAUUAAGGGCAAUACUAAACUUAUUUACUUAUAUAAAGAGAUUAUUUGGAUAAUAGAUUUUUUCAGUGCUUUUGAAAAUAAUAGAUAAUGAUAACAUAAUUCUCUAACAAGCACUAAUGCAAUAACAAUUAGUCAUAUCAAUAAAUUGUUCAUCAGAAAUAUUUCGCAAAGACUAGGUUUAUAUUUAAGUUGGAGGCAAAAUCUUUGAAUUUUCAGUACAGACUAUUACCAGUCUUCAUCUCUUCUAACAGAGAUGUAUGUACUAUCAGAAUAUUUAAUUAAUUUAAACCAGCCUAAUUUAAAUUUGGAUGGGAGGAAAACAUCAG
Molecule: long non-coding RNA, 2100 nt
Filed under: Lynx pardinus (Iberian lynx)
Lineage: Eukaryota; Metazoa; Chordata; Mammalia; Carnivora; Felidae
Source: RNAcentral